ACCUUCGGGCCUUGUGCUACUAGAGCGGCUGAUGGCAGAUUAGGUAGUUGGUGGGGUAAAGGCUUACCAAGCCUGCGAUCUGUAGCUGGUCUGAGAGGACGACCAGCCACACUGGGACUGAGACACGGCCCAGACUCCUACGGGAGGCAGCAGUGGGGAAUUUUGGACAAUGGGCGAAAGCCUGAUCCAGCAAUGCCGCGUGCAGGAUGAAGGCCCUCGGGUUGUAAACUGCUUUUGUACGGAACGAAAAGCUCUGGGCUAAUACCCUGGAGUCAUGACGGUACCGUAAGAAUAAGCACCGGCUAACUACG
Molecule: ribosomal RNA, 311 nt
Filed under: Comamonas sp. AF(2010)
Lineage: Bacteria; Pseudomonadati; Pseudomonadota; Betaproteobacteria; Burkholderiales; Comamonadaceae
Description: bacterial SSU rRNA
Rfam family: Bacterial small subunit ribosomal RNA
Source: RNAcentral